Molecule: non-coding RNA, 23 nt
Filed under: Cricetulus griseus (Chinese hamster)
Lineage: Eukaryota; Metazoa; Chordata; Mammalia; Rodentia; Cricetidae
Source: RNAcentral
CAAAGUCAUGCAGGCAAAAGACC